Unclassified non-coding RNA from Mustela putorius furo (domestic ferret), 308 nucleotides. Its record names the gene 7SK. It matches the Rfam family "7SK RNA". From Rfam's summary of the family: 7SK was discovered as an abundant small nuclear RNA in the mid-70s but a possible function has only recently been suggested. Two independent studies have found that 7SK RNA binds the CDK9/cyclin T complex (known as elongation factor P-TEFb). P-TEFb activates transcription by phosphorylating the C-terminal domain of RNA polymerase II. NCBI's taxonomy places the organism in Eukaryota, Metazoa, Chordata, Mammalia, Carnivora, Mustelidae. The record is from Ensembl.
GGAUGUGAGGGCAAUCUGAUUGUGACAUCUGUAACCCCACUGAUCACCAGAGUUGAUUCAGCUGACCUGGCUGGCUAGAUGGAUGUCCCCUUCCUCCCUUACUACUCCACGUGCAUCCCUUCUAAAGCUGCACACUCUGGUCAAAGAGGACCACCUUCUUCCGUGGAGGAAAGGGUUGUUCUUUGGUCAAGGGUAUACAAGUAGCUGCACUCUCCUGCUAGAAUCUCCAAACAAACUCUGGAGAUAUACCUCUCACAUAAAGCAGAGACCAAAACAAACAAGAAAGGAACAGCAAUGACAGAGACCUU